Molecule: long non-coding RNA, 1026 nt
Organism: Numida meleagris (helmeted guineafowl)
Lineage: Eukaryota; Metazoa; Chordata; Aves; Galliformes; Numididae
Exons: 4
Source: RefSeq, a predicted model, not a curated record
GGCUUUUUAGCAGGGCCGGCCCGGGGCUGCCGCUGCCCCGCCUGAGACGGGGCACGGCCCGGGGGCGGCCUCAGCCCCCGAGAAGGGUUUGGCGGGAGCUUCAGCCCCGCCCGGUUCCAGCAGCGGGAGCGAGCAGGAUGGGCCCUUGUCUUUUUCCUUUCUCUCUCUGUGUUCUUUCUUAGGAAAGGCAGCGUGGCAAGGCGGUGGAGUUUCUCUUCCAGUGAGAGAACUGGAAGGCAUUGAGCUGUGCCUAGGGACGGAUGAAGACCUAGCAGAGCGCUUGCACGCUUUGUUCUUUCCAGUGCCCCGAGGAGCGGCGCAUCCCUCAGAGUUAGAAAUGGAAGGUGGCCAUGGAGCGGAGGAUAGCCCGUGCGCUGCGGCGGCCUUGAAGAAGGGCGAGAAGCGUGGCCUGCAUGACUAGGGGCCGGCGGGCCUGUUUCAGGUGGAGAAGUUAAGAUGGAGGGGGACAUGGUGAAGGUCGCAGCGGAGCCCGGGCAUGACUAGGCGCGUGAGUUCAUCGGGGCGGGAGCCCUGCGACGCAAGGGCCUCCCUCCCCAGCAGCACUCAGAGCUUUUUUGAGCAGGUUCAGGUGUGGCGUGCGGAUCCCGGCAGCGUGUCUGUGGAGCCUUGUGAGGUGUGUCCUUGAGCGUCUGAGAGGUGCGUGACGGGUGGUCUCCCGGAGGCAUGGACCUGACGGAGCGAGAAGCGCUGCCUGGGUCGUGGCCGCAGCAGCAGUACAGCGCAGGAGUUUUGGGUGGCCAUCCUGGGCCGGGAGCCGCGCCGCCUGCGCGGUGGCAACUGAAGAGGUAGGUGCUGGGCGUUGGGGUGUGGCGGGCUUGGAGUGUUGUGGAGGUUGGUGUGCGUGGGGCGUUGCGGUUAGUUUUGUUGAGUGUGUUGGCUGGGCCCCUCGCGGUGUGGCAGGUUGUUGAGUUAGCGUUAGAGGUGGGGGUGCAGAAGGAGCACUAAGAUGUAGGGUUGAAGGCAGUGUUUGAGCGUGAGGUAUUGGGGAUGGCUGUUAGUUGCUUU